This is a small nuclear RNA of Suncus etruscus (white-toothed pygmy shrew), 103 nucleotides long. Lineage: Eukaryota; Metazoa; Chordata; Mammalia; Eulipotyphla; Soricidae. The record is from RefSeq and is a predicted model, not a curated record.
UUGCUUCGGCAGCAGAUACACUAAAACUGGAACGAUACAGAGAAGAUUAGCAUGACCCCUGUGCAAGGAUGACAUGCAGAUAUUUGAAGUAAAUGAAUUUAAU